CCUAACUGAAAAAAUCAAGAAGUUUAUCCUAGAAAGGGAAAAAAACCCGUUAAUGGUGAACAUCCCACAUGGGUGGUGUUAUACGUGUGUCAAUUUUACAUUCGUACCCUUAUCAUCUACGGGAAUGGUUGUAUCAUCUUCUCGUUAGAGAAGGAAACCGAGAGAAACUUAAAGGAUUUACGGAUAGAAAUAGAGAGACCAAGAGAAAGAAUGAGGUAGAUCGAGUGAGAUAGUGGAGAUCGAGUUCGUUUACGGGUUUUGGGGGAUGAGUACGGCUGAUUAAAGGAAGAAAACAUGAAUCUCAGAGACGUUAGGGUUUCUUCAUCAUCAAAGCUGGUCAAAUCAAGAUCAUGGUGAUUCAAAACCGGUAUGCAAAUGUGGAUGUUCCUGCUAAUGGCGUAGAUAGAGAUACCCCUAGAGUGCAGUGGACUGAAGAUAUGGAAGCUGAGUGGCAAUUUCAUUGUGGUGGUAAACACGUUAGGGACCCAGUAAACUUUUCUUUGCUGAUCCUAUAUACAUUUGUAAUCUUAAUCUCGGAGAACAAAUCAGUCUUCCAAGAUUUCGAACUCAUCUGCCUGGUGAUCAUAUUGUGAGUGGAUAUGGAUACAAAUCUGUCACUGGUGAUCAUAUUGUGAGUGGAUUUGGGUACAAUUCCAUCACUGAUGAAUAUAAAGUUGUUAGGAUCCACUAUGAUGAUUACACACUGUGGAAGUUAGACAAACCCAAGGGACAAGUUCAGGUUUAUACUCUUGGUAGUGGAAGUCGGUGGAGAAACAUAGCAGAAUGUCCCUACUCGUUGCAACGUUCCAAUACCCCACUACGUCAUGUCUUUGUGUGUUGAAGACCUGACGGUGGCCGAAGUCAAAUUGAUAUUCCAUCUCGGGGCUUCCUCGCAAAUGGUGCUCUUCGUUGGUUGGACGAAGAUUGGAAUAUUGUAAAAUUUGAUUUAGAGUAUGAGCACUUCAGUUUGCUCCCAUCAGCGCCAAGUUUUCGGCCAGGUGAGAAAAACUUCUAUAUACUUCAAGUGUUGGUGGGGUGCUUGUGUGUUGUUAGUGACCAGAAUGGUAAACGUCUUGACAUAUGGUCAUUCAAGUAGGAGACUAGUGAAUGGAAAAAGAUGUGUGGAAUGCAAUGUCGUUCAGAUAAAUUUAUUGAUGUCUAUUGGCCAAUAUCCCUAACAUCAAGAGGUAAACUUUUACUACGAUUUGAUUACAAGGCGCUACGAUGUUAUGAUCCGAGAACCAGUCAAAUGAAAAGGCUUGCUAAUUGCAACACAGAAUUCAAAUUCCCAAGAUCACCUUAUCCUUUGAUAGAAGCAAUACCUCACAUCAACAGUUUUGUUUCACUGAAAGCACUAGGAGAGAGCCCUAUGAAAAUAGCAAGAACCAAUAGACAUAAUGAUCUUGUGUCACUGUUUUGGUGACAUAAUGAUCCUUUUAAUCUAUUUUGCCCUUUAGUCAAAAAAAAUAUAGCAAGAACCAAGAAUGUUGUUGAUUAUCGUUAGAUCAGCGAUUAGCAAAUGAAUAUGAAUGUUUGAUUCACUCAGCAAAUAGAAACUAUUGUUGCAGGCAGGAGAAGCAAAAGGAAAUCGACUACUAAAUCAAGUUGUGUAAUUUCCUAGAACAGAACGGUUCUUUCAUUAUGUUUUAGAGCUCUUUUUUCAAAGUACGAGCAAGUGAAAAUCAAACUCUUUUGUAUUGAAAACAUUACUCCCUAUUGAGCCAGACAUGCUUAAUUAUAUCUCUUGUUGGAGUCAUUCA
Long non-coding RNA from Papaver somniferum (opium poppy), 1760 nucleotides. RefSeq lists it as uncharacterized. The transcript is spliced from 2 exons. The record is from RefSeq and is a predicted model, not a curated record. Lineage: Eukaryota; Viridiplantae; Streptophyta; Magnoliopsida; Ranunculales; Papaveraceae.